This 73-nucleotide transfer RNA is filed under the name Sphaerodactylus townsendi. RNAcentral describes it as "tRNA-Ala". The record is from RNAcentral. Lineage: Eukaryota; Metazoa; Chordata; Lepidosauria; Squamata; Sphaerodactylidae.
GGGGGUCAUAGCUCAGUGGUAGAACAUCUGACCAGCAUGCAGAUAGUUCCAGGUUCAAACUCUGAAGUCGCUA